Molecule: unclassified non-coding RNA, 253 nt
Filed under: uncultured Sporolactobacillaceae bacterium
Lineage: Bacteria; Bacillati; Bacillota; Bacilli; Caryophanales; Sporolactobacillaceae
Description: contains 16S-23S intergenic spacer region
Rfam family: Bacterial small subunit ribosomal RNA
Source: RNAcentral
UACAGAGGGGGCAAGCGUUAUCCGGAAUUAUUGGGCGUAAAGCGCUCGCAGGCGGUUUCUUAAGUCUGAUGUGAAAGCCCACGGCUCAGCCGUGGAGGGUCAUUGGAAACUGGGAAACUUGAGUGUAGGAGAGGAAAGUGGAAUUCCACGUGUAGCGGUGAAAUGCGUAGAUAUGUGGAGGAACACCAGUGGCGAAGGCGACUUUCUGGCCUACAACUGACGCUGAGGCGCGAAAGCGUGGGGAGCAAACAGG